AGCAGCCGCGGUAAUUCCAGCUCCAAUAGCGUAUAUUAAGGUUGCUGCAGUUAAAAGCUCGUAGUUGAAUUUCGGGAUCAUCAUGUCGGUCGUGCCUCGGUACGUACUGGCAUUGUUGGUUUCUACCUUCUGACGAACCAUGAUGUCAUUUAUUUGGUGUCGUGGGAAAUCAGGACUGUUACUUUGAAAAAUUGAGUGUUUAAAGCAGGCUCACGCUUGAAUACAUUAGCAUGGAAUAAUGAAAUAGGACGUUUGAUUCUAUUUUGUGGUUUCCAGGAUCGACGUAAUGAUUAAUAGGGAUAGUUGGGGGCAUUAGUAUUCAAUUGUCAGAGGUGAAAUUCUUGGAUUUAUUGAA
RNAcentral lists this ribosomal RNA (355 nucleotides) under uncultured Glomeromycotina. RNAcentral's name for it is "SSU rRNA". It matches the Rfam family "Eukaryotic small subunit ribosomal RNA", at positions 569 to 933 of the family's 1831-position model. The record is from RNAcentral. Lineage: Eukaryota; Fungi; Glomeromycota.